Molecule: ribosomal RNA, 2652 nt
Filed under: Triticum aestivum (bread wheat)
Lineage: Eukaryota; Viridiplantae; Streptophyta; Magnoliopsida; Poales; Poaceae
Description: partial small subunit ribosomal RNA
Source: RNAcentral
AUGGCGCGAAGCAUGGACAUGGUGCCGCUGCUGCUUCUGUGCAUGGCCGCGGCCAUGGAGGGCGCGGCGGCGCUGCACCUGUGCGUGGACCGGCUGUACGACAGCACGCAGGGCAAGCACGACGACGGCCUGCCCCACCUGAACCCGACGGAGGAGGCGACCUGGAUGGCGCUCCUGCCGCGCAAGCUCGGCGCCAAGGCCGAGUUCGACUGGCUCGCGCUCUACCGGAGCCUCACGCGCGGCGCCGGCGGCGCCCCUGCGGAGUUCCUCUCCCAGGCGUCCCUGCACGACGUCCGCCUCGCCCCCGGCUCCAUGUACUGGCAGGGCCAGCAGACCAACCUCGAGUACCUCCUCUACCUCGACCCCGACCGCCUCACCUGGAGCUUCCGCCAGCAGGCCGGCCUGCCCACCGUCGGCGAGCCCUACGGCGGGUGGGAGGCGCCCGACGGCCACCUCCGCGGCCAUUUCGUAGGGCACUACCUGAGCGCGAGCGCGCACAUGUGGGCGAGCACGCACAACGACACCCUGAGGGAGAAGAUGGCCAGGGUGGUGGACAUCCUCGACGACUGCCAGAGGAAGAUGGGCACGGGGUACCUUUCGGCUUACCCCGACGAGGUGUUCGACAUGUACGAGGAGCUCUCCGAGGCCUGGUCGCCCUACUACACCAUCCACAAGAUCAUGCAAGGCCUUCUGGAUCAGUACACGUUGGCUUCGAAUCGAAAGGGCCUUGACAUGGUGGUGUGGAUGACGGAUUACUUCAGCGAGCGUGUGAAGAACCUGAUACAGACGCACUCGAUCCAGAGGCACUGGGAGGCGAUGAACGAGGAGACCGGCGGAUUGAACGAUGUCAUGUAUCAACUGUAUACCCUGACGAAAGAGCAGAAGCACCUAACGAUGGCCCAUCUUUUCGACAAACCGUGCUUCCUCGGCCCCCUCAGCCUUCAUGAUGAUGAUAUAGCGGGGUUGCAUGUUAACACUCACAUUCCUGUCCUAGUCGGUGCGCAAAAGAGAUAUGAAGUCGUCGGUGACCAUCUUUACAAGGACAUUGCAACAUUCUUCUUUGACGUUGUAAACUCCUCCCACAUAUUUGCAACAGGAGGCACAUCUACCUCGGAACACUGGCACGACCCGAAGCGACUAGUAGACGAGAUCAAAAUCAGCUCCAACGAGGAGACUUGCACCACCUACGACUUGCUUAAGGUGUCCCGAAACCUGUUCAGGUGGACGAAGGAAGUCAAGUAUGCCGAUCACUACGAGAGGCUGCUCAUCAAUGGGAUCAUGGGCAACCAGAGGGGAACGCAGCCUGGUGUCAUGAUCUACUUCCUUCCCAUGGGUCCUGGGCGAUCCAAGAGCAUCAGCGGCGGGCACCCUUCCGGCCUUCCCCCCAAGAACCCCGGGGGGUGGGGAGGUCCAAAUGACACCUUCUGGUGCUGCUACGGGACAGGGAUAGAAUCGUUCUCAAAGUUGGGGGACACCAUAUACUUCCUGGAGGAGGGUGAAGUGCCGGGGCUCUACAUCGCGCAGCACAUACCGAGCACCUUCGACUGGAAAGCAGCAGGCCUCACCGUGGUGCAGCAGGCCAAGCCACUGCUGUCGACGGAUCCUUACUUUGAAGUCACAAUCUCCAUUUCUGCCAAGGGAGAUGCCCAGCCAGCAAAGGUGAGCGUGAGGAUCCCUUCAUGGACAUCCACAGCUGACGCAAUGGCAACUCUGAAUGGCAAAAAACUCAACCUGACAUCUGCAGGUGAUUUCCUCACGUUGACAAAACUCUGGGGCGAUGAUACCUUAGUGCUCCAAUUUCCCAUUAACUUGAGAACCGAGGCAAUCAAAGAUGACCGGCCGGAGUAUGCGUCCAUCCAGGCGGUGCUGUUCGGGCCGCACCUCCUCGCCGGCCUGACACACGGCAACAAGGCCAUUAACGCGACCGAGCACUCCAACGACGGCCUGACCCCGGGCAUGUGGGAGGUGGACGCCAGGAACGCCACCUCCACGGCCGACUGGAUCGCCGCGCUCCCUCAUGAGGCGAUCAACUCGCAGCUCGUCACCCUGACGCAGCGGUCCGGCGCGCAGACCUUCGUCCUGUCGGUGUCGGCCACCGACGGCACGCUGACAAUGGAGCGUAUGCCCGUCGCCGGCAGCGACGCGUGCGUGCGCGCCACGAUCGUGGUCGACACGUACGUGGUGGACAGCACCGCCGCUGAGCACGGCGCCGCCGCUCCUGUUCUGCAUGGGCCGAACGUGACGAUCGCGCCGUUCGACAGGCCGGGCAUGGCGAUCACCAACGGCUUCGAGGUCAAGCUGCAUCCAGGGCCGGAGGCCCUGUUCAACGCCGUGCCCGGGCUGGACGGGCUCCCCGGCUCGGUGUCCCUGGAGCUCGGCACCAGGCCAGGGUGCUUCGUGAGGGCGCCCGCGGGCUACAGCGCCGGCGACAAGGCCCAGGUCGGCUGCCGGACGAGCAGCGGCGGCGGCGACGACGCGGCGUUCCGGAAGGCGGCGAGCUUCACGCAGGCGGCGCCGCUGCGCCUGUACCACCCGCUGAGCUUCGUGGCCAAGGGCACGGAGAGGAGCUUCGUGCUGGAGCCGCUGCGGAGCCUCCAGGACGAGUUCUACACCGUCUACUUCAACCUGGUCACCGCCGCCGCCGACAGCUGA